CCUACGGGGGGCAGCAGUGGGGAAUAUUGGACAAUGGGGGGAACCCUGAUCCAGCGACGCCGCGUGAGUGAAGAAGUAUUUCGGUAUGUAAAGCUCUAUCAGCAGGGAAGAAAAUGACGGUACCUGACUAAGAAGCCCCGGCUAACUACGUGCCAGCAGCCGCGGUAAUACGUAGGGGGCAAGCGUUAUCCGGAUUUACUGGGUGUAAAGGGUGUGUAGGCGGGAAAGUAAGAUAGUGGUGAAAUGCCUGAGCUCAACUUGGGAACUGCCAUUAUAACUAUUUUUCUAGAGUGACAGAGAGGAUAUUGGAAUACCCAGUGUAGAGGUGAAAUUCGUAGAUAUUGGGUAGAACACCGGAGGCGAAGGCGAGUAUCUGGCUGUCAACUGACGCUGAGGCACGAAAGCAUGGGGAUCAAACAGGAUUAGAUACCCGUGUAGUC
RNAcentral lists this ribosomal RNA (440 nucleotides) under uncultured bacterium. RNAcentral describes it as "partial 16S ribosomal RNA". It matches the Rfam family "Bacterial small subunit ribosomal RNA", at positions 338 to 795 of the family's 1533-position model. The record is from RNAcentral.